GGUGCUUUAAAUCGUACUACUAUUAAAUUAUAUUCAAUGGCAAAUAUUGAAAGAGCUAUAAAAGCCGUUCUAGCGAAAAGAGAGCUUGAAUAUUCGUUAAAAGACGAGACAUUCAAAUGUGUCUCGGCCAUUGUAAAAUGGUGAAGAUGUUUUGGUUGUUUUCCCAACAGGUUAUGGGCUUAUUAUGGCAAAUAUUAAAAUAUUUCAGCUGCUACCUGACGUGUACGACAUGUUACUUGGCGUAACUAAUUCUAUCGUGAUAGUCAUAUCUCCACAUGAAUGACCAACGCAUUUCUGCAUGCAUGUCAAAGUAUGAUUAUGAUACAAGGGUAACAAGUCCAUUCUGUGCUACACUAUACUAUACUAUAUUUGGUGAUGGCAGCGAUAUCAAAUUACCAUUGGAUCCACAUGAGAACCCAACGUAUAAGCUGUUCUAUAUGCACCCAGAAAUGUGUGUCUAUGACAAGAAAAUACAAGCUUUUUUCAACUGUAUACUGUAAACCUCUGAAUAUAAUGCUCACCUCAUUCCACAUAUAAGCCCCCCUGAAUAUAAGUUCCCUGAAUAUAAUCCCAGUAUAUGUUAUUUAACGUUGACAUUGUCUUUUAAUAUAGCAGAGAACGAUAUUAAAAACACUGUCAUUGUCUUUAUAGCUUACUAUGUUAAUCGAAGUGUGUUAUUAAUACAUGUUUAUUUUCCUGUUUAUGACUGACUUGUUUAUUACUAACACAAUUGAUCGUCCAUGUAUAAGGCCCCCGUGCAUAUAAGCCCCCCCCCCCUAAGCCCAUCAAAAAUCGCUUACAAAAGAAUAUAAGACCAGGGCUUAUAGUCAGAGGUUUACGGUAUUAUUUAUCACAUAUUUUAGCAAUGGGUCAUUCCAGAAAACAUCCAUACCACCCCCACAGAGGAAAUUGGAAGUUAACCCCCUACCCCCUUCGGAUGUCCUAAUACAUUUACUAUUAUCAGAAACAAUGUUAUCUCCCCUCCCCCUCCGGACGGCAGAAAUUUCCUCCGUGGGGGGACUGUGGAUCUUUUCUGGAACGACCCAAUAAACACAUUUUUUAUAUUAUAUUACAUUAACAUAUAUACAUGGAGCACAUAUGAAGUUUUUAAAAUUUAAAUGACAGUACAUUGUGUUUGUAAUUAUAAUUACUAUAAUUACUUGUGUUGAAAGUAAAUGAAGUGAACAAAUCCAUAUAUAUUUGUUGAAAAUUUGUUGCAGUGGGUAUCUUCCAUUUGUUUUUCAUGCUUCACACUGUGUAUCUUUGAACAUUUAAUCAGCAACUAAUUAUAGGCAAGGAUAUAUUUACUAGCUCAUUUCUCCAUAUUACCAGGUACAUAACAUGCAAAUUAUACAUCAACCUUGCAAUCCAGGCUUUAACCCCUGCAGUUGCCACUCUCCUGCAGCAUGUUUGGGAAGGGAGAGGAAGGAAUGGAGGUACUGUAAUUUCUAUAUUUAGCCCCC
Non-coding RNA from Paramuricea clavata, 1463 nucleotides. The record is from the annotation of a GenBank genome assembly. Lineage: Eukaryota; Metazoa; Cnidaria; Anthozoa; Malacalcyonacea; Plexauridae.